UCACCAUUAGCCUUAACUAUCUUCAUUUUCUUUCACUCAACACCGAACAUAAACCCAAAGAAAAGAAAAAGAAAGGCCGAGAGAGAAUGUGAUGCUUCCAUGGAACCGUGAGUUUCUGACUCUAAUUUCUUGCAAUCCGUAACUCCAAUAAAAAAUAUAGUUCGGUAAAAAUGUUCAUAUUCUUUUUCUCUACGCGUUGGCGUUAUUUUUGUCUGGUAAAAGUUGACGGUGACGUAGCUCCUCUUCUCCUUGAGUUCGGCUAACUGGAGUUCUAAGAAGCACAGACGAUUUCUAACGCUUUCUUCUUCAGCAGCUCAAUCAAAAAGCUUUUCCGGAGCUUUUGAGGAUUUUGGUUCCGUACGAAGGUAGGGAAUUUUAUUUUGAAAUUAACUGUUUGAAACUAUGAAUGUCAUGGAAGUCUAGUGAGUAUUUGUAAAUAAUUUAAGAUUAUUUGGAAUGACUGAAUGAUGAAUUUGAUGAAUAUGUAUUUGAUUUCUUGAUUGAAAAUAGGUUGAAAAUGGUUCAGUUGGGACCGAAAAGAGUGGCUAAGCCCGAGUUUUAGGGAAAGUGCUGUCAAAAUUUUAUAAAAUCUGAGGUUUUAUUUGAAAAGUUAUUUUAAAAGAUUUGGUUUUAGAAAAUUAAAUUAUUUGAGAUUUAUUUAGUUGAGAAAAUGUGUGUUCUAUUUUAAAAAAAAAAAAACUCGAUUUAUUAAAGAAAAAUAUCAUGUUUUAAAUCCAAUUUUGUAAGGAGAGAUUUUGUUUUAAGUGUUGUUUUGAGUUCGGUUUUUUAAGAAAAGGAAUCUUUGUCACAGGAGAGCAGGGAACAAGAAUUUAAAGAAUAUAUUAACUAAAAGGAUCUCUGCCACAGGAGAGCCACUACAAAAAAAAGGGUUAAAAUGGCGGUUUUUUAAGGUAAUUACGGCGGUUACAACCGCCAUUAUUACCGAAAAUGGCGCCCCCAAGAAACGCCGGAAUUCCCGGAAUUCUUCUGGUUAUUACGGCGGUUUUUUUGAAAACCGCCGUAAUAACCAGUGGAUAAUACGGCGGUUUUUGGGCGGUUAAAAUGGCGGUUUUUAACCGCCAUUUUAACCAAAUAAAACGGCGGUUUUGUGGUUGUUUAAAAUGGCGGUUUGUAACCGCCGUUUUUACCUGGAUUUAAUGGCAUCUUCUCGUUUAAAAUGGCGGUUUAUAACCGCCGUUUUUACCUGGGUUUAAUGGCAUCUUCUCGUUUAAAAUGGCGUUUCUAACCGCCGUUUUUACCUGGGUUUAAUGGCAUCUUCUCGUUUAAAAUGGCGUUUCUAACCGCCGUUUUUACCUGGGUUUAAUGGCAUCCUUCUCAUUAAAAAUGACAUUUAUAACCGCUGUUUUUACCAGUAUUUAAUGGCAUCAUUUUUGUUUAAAAUUGCAUUUUUUAACUGCCAUUUUUACCAGAAUAUAAUGGCACCAUUUUUGUUUAAAAUGGCAUUUUUAGCUGUUGUUUUUACCUAAUUGCAAUUUUAUACUUUUUAAAAUGAGAUUGAAACUAUGUAUUUAAAGUGACAUUUUUAGAACUCAAAUUUUAAAAUCUCAUAAUAACUAAAAAGCAUAACCUUGAAUCAAACAUCAUAACAAGAUUUUUAAUUCAUACACAUUCUCCGAAAAUAAAAAAUCAUAAUCCAAAAACAAAGUAUCUAAGAUAACAUUUUUCAAUAAUUUGUCUUAACAUAUAUCUAUAAUACUUAAUACAUGAAAUCUUUAUCAUACAAGAUCAUGCUUCUUUGUUGCUCGCUCCAAAAGACCUACUUCCUAACUCUCUUGGUGAUGGAAUCUCACUCUCUUGAUCCAAUCCCUACAACAAAAAUAUAAUUAUGAGCACAAUAAAAAAGAAUAUAAAACUGAAUCUGAAACUAUUAAUAUAAAAUUAUUCAAUCAAAAACGAAAAGAUCAAAGAUCACAUAAAACUGAAUCUGAAACUAUUAAUAUAUAAUCUAACAAAGCAACUUCUGCAAGAGAGGCUUCUCUAAUGCACAAGUACUUGGAGGUCACAUGAACCUUCAUAGGAAGGACAAAGCAAAGAUCAAAGAACAGCAACAAUUUUCUUCUUCUUCAAAUCAAACUACUCAUCAUCAACAAUUUUUAUUGGAGGGGAAUCUUGGUAGUAACAAUGAUAAUAAUAAUAAUAAUAAAGAGCUUUUAAAUGUGCCUCAUCAACCACUUAUGGACGAUGAAACCAAUAAUAAUAAUAUUGUGAUGAUGAGGCAGUUACCACUCUUUUCAGAAUCAUCAUCAUCACCUCCUCCUCAUCAUCAUCUUCAACAGCAAGAGGAUCAAAUUUCUGGUCAACAAGGUCCCUCAUCAUCUUCAGAAUUAGACCGCCUAAACCUCGAACACGACCAGGGUGCUCUUUCCCAAGAACUACUCCAAGAGCAUCAAGAGGAGAAUUAACGGUUAAUUCCACCGCUUGUUGACUACUAUAUGCUUCAAUCUUCUCCUACAUAUAUAAAAAGAAAGGGAAAGAAUCAAACAUAAUAUUAUCUUAUAAAAAAAAAGAAAAAGAAAUACAAACAAGUUACUUAUUUCACUUUAGUCUUACCGCUAUUUCUUUAGCCUUUUCAUUAACAUAACUUCCAUCUAUUUUCUUGUGAGUGAUAUCCCACAUUUGAACCCUACUAACUUCUUUUCCCGUCUCUUCCGUCUAAAUUCAAGAAAAGUAGAAAGACUCAAUCAAGAAAUAUAUCAUCCAAGAAAAGAUAUGCAUAAAAUUAAGUAACUAACAGCAACAAUAUGUUCUAUUUGAGAAGCAGAAAAGGAAUUUAGAGAAGCAGAAAAGGAAGCUAGGAAAAAUUAUUUUAUGUUUUUGAUUCAUGUACUAUAUAGGGAAAAAUCUUCUACUAUCCCAUGAUUUUGUAAAGGGUUACAUGAGAAUUUGUGAAAUGAUUGAUUCUACAAUCCCUUUCUCAAAAAUGGAUUCAGUUGGUUUGAAAGCCCUGUUUUUCAGUGAAGGUUUUAAGCCAUUAAGUUAACCCAAGUGGCAAGCAAGAUUAAAUGUUUAUUGUUACUUUCUUUUUCUAAAUGCUGCCAGCUUCUAUUCUUUUGGAUGCACUAUUGUCAAGGUUGAACGAAAAUGUGCAUGAGUGAAUGCAGAAUGCCUACUAGAUACUACCUAACUAACAAAUAAUUAUUCAGCACCGAAAAAAUAGAAGCACAAAUACAUCAACAAAUAUAUAUAUAUAAUUAUUUUAUGUUUUUGAUUACCAAUUCAGCCCUUCUUCUUGCAAUUGAUUUAGCACCUGAAGUAUGAGGAAUUAUUUGUUUUUGCCGAAUUUCUUGAUUCCUCUUACAAAGAUUCUGCAAGAUUAGUUUGGACAAAAUUAAAUAGAGUUAAACAUGCAUUCACAACAUUCCAUAUAAUACUUAAUUUCCUAUCAGCCAACUUAAACCAUUGAAUAAGUUCAGCUUCAAAAUAAUUAACUCUCAGUGAAUCCAACAGUCUUAAUUACUCACUAACAGUGAUCCAACAGUUUCAUACUUUUUGUACACUUCUCUAAAUAAAAUAUUUCUUUUCACAUAAUAAUGUUUUCCUUUAUACAUUAGACUAGAAGAAGAAAGACGAUAUAAUAAUAUAACAACUAGCUACUUGCAGCUCUAAUUAAUACACAACUAGCUACUUGAUAUUUGAAUUGAAAACAUAUUCAUUUUCUAAUAAUUCUUAUUAAUUUAUAAGAUUUGAAUCCAAAAUUGUGUGACGGUAUUUGUUAAUUACACAAAAAUAGCGAUGAUGACAAUGCAAUAAUUUAAUUGGCAACCAAGUAAAAUCGUAAAUGCAAGCUCAUUGGUGAAAAAGAUGCAAUGGUAGUAUGAUCAAAUUCUAGGAAGGAAUUAAAAAAAGAAGAAAUAAAGAAAAAGGCAUUAACAUUAAAGAAAGAGUCUAAUUAGCUUUCCAUUGGAAUGUAAAACUACCACUGCCUAAGCACAUGCUUCCCACUGAUUUCUUUUUAUCUUUUCUUUUCUAUUUUUUCUUUCUGUUUUUUUAUUUUGUCCUCAGUUUGAGACCCCUUUCCUAGCAUCAUCUAUAUCUUUGUGCAUGUGUGUUGGCAUUUUGGAAUGGGAGUGUUUGAUGCAAAGCAAUUGAAGUUUUAGUUUGAACUUUGAACCCCAAGGAAUAUGAUGCAAAGCAAUUGAAGCAGUAAAGACCCCAUCCUCCUUUUAGUGAACUAAUGAUGUGAAAUACAUAAGGCACAACUUGGCAUUAGUUGCCAAAUUUGCAUUAUUAACCACUGAGGCUGAACAUGAGUCAUGGCGAAGUAAUUCAAUAGGAUCAUAUAAAUUCAUGUAGUUAUAUCAUAAGAAAAAGCAUCUAUUGCAAGUUCAUCAAAGUCAAACAUUCUAGCAUGAAAAAAAAUCAAUUUUACCAAUUUUCAGAGAUAAAAAACUUAGUUUAGAAGAAUUAAAACAUGAAAAGCAAUUUGAUGCUUAGUCACAUAAGAUGCUGCUUUAAAGAUAUUGACCAAAGAGAAUUCAACACAACAAUUAUAGUUAUUGAUUUCAGAAGAACAAGCUAAUAAUAAUAACUGCUAUGGUUUCAUAACUUAAUCAUCAACAAACUUAUUGAGCACAGCAAAAAUCACCAGGAAGAAUGACUAGUACACGAUGCAGAGAAAAAUAUCAGAACAAAUGAGAAUCGCACUAAAUAUCAGAAGAAAAAACAAAUACUGAAACUAAUGCAGAGAAGCUUACCUAAUAAACGAGCUGCAACAACGCGAACAAUGAAACAAGGUUUCUCCACUAAUAACAAUGAACAAGAAGUGAAACUAAAGCUGGGUACUGAAACAUGCUUAGAAUCUCCACUUCCAUUUACUUGCCACAACAAAUAAUGUCUUAUCUCUGAUGAAUUUUCUUCUACCAAAAUAAAUAAAUAAAUGAAUCAGCAUAUAAAUAAAUAAAAAAAGUCUAGUAAUAUUGUUAUUAAAUAAAAAAAAUAAAAAGGCUACAAAUUCAAAGGCAUUCAAAGAACAAAUAUCAUGGUUGAGUUUAUCAAAGAUGAAACAAGCUGGGGCAUGAUGCAUGUGAAGCCCAGAAUAAACCAAACUAGAGGCUAAUUACCUGUGAAAAUAAGUCAGCUAAGCAAGUUAAAAGAUUUUCUUCCAACUCCCCAAUGCUUUUGUUAUUUCCAUAAUACUCUAGUAAUUGUUCACGAAAUGGAACACAAAAUUAUAGUGUCUGCGGUAAGUAGCAAAAUGAAAUGAUAAGUUACUAGUCAAGAACCAUGAAGAUAUUUACAAAACAAGAAUAAUCAUACACAUAAAAGGUAAAUGCUUGUACAAAAUGUAGUGUGGACCAUAUAUAUUGAAUAUAACAAAGAAAACAUUGAAUAAUAGUUUAGCCUUAAAUUUCAAUAGACUAUCAAUCAAUUUCAACAAAAAAACUUAUGAAAGAUGAUUAAGAGUCACGGGUUGGAAGUAAAAAUCGCACAUACCCAAUCCUCUGUAAUUGAUUUUUGGCCGAAACAAAACCAACACCCCCAUAACCUAACAACAGCCAUUCCACUAAAAUUGUUCAAAAAUAAAUAUAAACAAAAGGAAGCCCAAGACAGCCAGCCUAAAAGAAGCAGAAAGAAUGAAAUGAAACAAGGACUACAGCAUGUUAAUCAAAUCUAAGUGCAAGGACAAGUUAAUCAAAUAAUGAGAUGCACUACAUGUUUGAGAUUGGAGCAGUUUUUUCUGAGAUCUAAGAUCUGAGAUUGGAGAUUAGAGAAACACCUUAAUAGAAGUAAGCAAUAGAAGAUCUAAGUUCAGAGAGAGAGAGAGAGAGGAGGGAGUAAAGUUAAGAAAGAAGACCUGAGAUCGUCGUCAAUCACCCCCGCACCAACGUCAAUCCAAUGCUUCAAGGAAGACCCAAAAAUCCCUAACAGAGCUGCAGAGAAACAAAACCCCCCAAAAAUCAGCACCAAAAGCAAUUUUGAAACCCUAACCCAAACAAAAACAAAUAAAUCGGUGCCUUCUGGAAUCAAAAUGCUGAGGUCAGUAGCCACCAGAACCUUGCCUCUUGCCGGAAUCUUCGUCUCCACAGCACAAAAGAAAAAACAAAAUAAAACAGCAUUUCAAUUUAACUUGAGAGGGAGAGGUACCUGGAGAGAUCGUAACCGGCGGAGAGAGGAGAAGUCCUAGAAGGAAGAACGGCGUUGUUGGAGAGCUUCUUUAACGGAGGAGAUGAUGAACGUUGUUUGUUUAGAGAGGAGAUCGUAACCAGAGCGUUGUUCAGAGAGGAGAUGAUGAACGUUGUUUCUUACCUUUACGUUGUUUGUUGGUGUAACCAGAUCGUAACCAGAGAGGAGAAGCCCUAGCUAGAACGAAGAACGGCGUUGAAUGAGCCAGGAUUACAAUUUUUUUCAUUUUAUAUGCGUGUGAAAACGGCGGUUCAAACCGCCAUAAUCACCAGAACCGCCAAAAUAUAUAAAGCCAAUUACGGCAGUAGCAACAAUUGCCAUAAUGUCUUGAUAUUAUGGCGGUUCUUUAAAACCGCCUUAAUAUCAAUGCCAUUUUAACUCCUUUUUUUUGUAGUGAGCAGAGAACAAAGAUUAAAGAAACAUAUUAAAUUAAUGAAAUGUCUGCCACAGGAGAGCAGAUGUGAUAUUGUUUGGGCCUUAGGGCCAAAUGUAAAGUGGGGACGCCCACACACUGAGAAUUGUUUUCCAGAUGUACGCUUAUUGAUUUGGAAAGUCACACUGUAUGCGGCCUAGCCGUACGACUUAUAAGCACACUGUAUGCAUCUGGAAAGCCAUAUCUGGGACUCGUGCCCGGGUAAUGUCGGGAGCGGGUAGGCAACCGACACAUGAGCUCAUGGCCUGCAUUAGGGACAGGCAUGCAUCAUAUGCAUUUAUAUGACAUUGUUUGGGUGUGCAUAUUAUAAUUGGUUUGCCUAUGUGAAUAGUUACAUUUAAUUGCUAAUUGUUCUACUUAAUAUAACUGCUUGAUUGUGUUUGAACCUUCUUACUUGUGUUUGUGGCUGAAAAUUGGUUGGAUUGUGAUGAAUUAGUAGUUGAUUGAGUUGCUUGGGCCUAGGGCCGUGGUUGAUUAUGAGAUGUUGUGGUUGAAAUAUGACUAAUUUUGUGAUUAAAAUCUGUUUUGAGUUAAGAAGUUUAAAAAAAAAGUAAUUAUUUAUCUGAAGUGGAGAUAAAAGUAUUUCCAAAGGUUUAACAAAAUAGUUUUACUAAGUAAGUCAAUUAUUUGCAUUGAAUUCAUUACUUUUACGGCAUUCCCAAUCUCUACUGAGAACGUGUGGUUUGUUCUCACCCCAAAUCUUCCACCCUUUCAGUGACACAGGUUCGGAGAUUUAGUAAGAAGCUGCAGACGAUUAGUAGAUUUAUUUGUGGUUCCUGUUAUUUUUUAUAGAGUUUCCCCGCCCUCGUUGUUUCAAGGUUUUUAUUUUAUCCAAAGGGAUAGGUACUGUAUUUGAGUUUUACAUUGAAUUUAAUUAUAUGGC
This 7460-nucleotide long non-coding RNA is filed under the name Arachis ipaensis. RNAcentral describes it as "long non-coding RNA (AIPA_LNC001185)". The record is from RNAcentral. Lineage: Eukaryota; Viridiplantae; Streptophyta; Magnoliopsida; Fabales; Fabaceae.